GAGUCUUGUAGAGGGGGGUAGAAUUCCAGGUGUAGCGGUGAAAUGCGUAGAGAUCUGGAGGAAUACCGGUGGCGAAGGCGGCCCCCUGGACAAAGACUGACGCUCAGGUGCGAAAGCGUGGGGAGCAAACAGGAUUAGAUACCCUGGUAGUCCACGCCGUAAACGAUGUCGAUUUGGAGGUUGUGCCCUUGAGGCGUGGCUUCCGGAGCUAACGCGUUAAAUCGACCGCCUGGGGAGUACGGCCGCAAGGUUAAAACUCAAAUGAAUUGACGGGGGCCCGCACAAGCGGUGGAGCAUGUGGUUUAAUUCGAUGCAACGCGAAGAACCUUACCUGGUCUUGACAUCCACAGAACUUUCCAGAGAUGGAUUGGUGCCUUCGGGAACUGUGAGACAGGUGCUGCAUGGCUGUCGUCAGCUCGUGUUGUGAAAUGUUGGGUUAAGUCCCGCAACGAGCGCAACCCUUAUCCUUUGUUGCCAGCGGUUAGGCCGGGAACUCAAAGGAGACUGCCAGUGAUAAACUGGAGGAAGGUGGGGAUGACGUCAAGUCAUCAUGGCCCUUACGACCAGGGCUACACACGUGCUACAAUGGCGCAUACAAAGAGAAGCGACCUCGCGAGAGCAAGCGGACCUCAUAAAGUGCGUCGUAGUCCGGAUUGGAGUCUGCAACUCGACUCCAUGAAGUCGGAAUCGCUAGUAAUCGUAGAUCAGAAUGCUACGGUGAAUACGUUCCCGGGCCUUGUACACACCGCCCGUCACACCAUGGGAGUGGGUUGCAAAAGAAGUAGGUAGCUUAACCUUCGGGAGGGCGCUUACCACUUUGUGAUUCAUGACUGGGGUGAAGUCGUAACAAGGUAACCGUAGGGGAACCUGCGGUUGGAUCACCUCCUUACCUUAAAGAA
RNAcentral lists this ribosomal RNA (899 nucleotides) under Enterobacter cloacae. Its description in RNAcentral is "bacterial SSU rRNA". It matches the Rfam family "Bacterial small subunit ribosomal RNA", at positions 644 to 1533 of the family's 1533-position model. The record is from RNAcentral. Lineage: Bacteria; Pseudomonadati; Pseudomonadota; Gammaproteobacteria; Enterobacterales; Enterobacteriaceae.